GACGAACGCUGGCGGCGUGCCUAAUACAUGCAAGUUGAGCGAUGAAGAUUGGUGCUUGCACCAAUUUGAAGAGCAGCGAACGGGUGAGUAACGCGUGGGGAAUCUGCCUUUGAGCGGGGAACAACAUUUGGAAACGAAUGCUAAUACCGCAUAACAACUUUAAACAUAAGUUUUAAGUUUGAAAGAUGCAAUUGCAUCACUCAAAGAUGAUCCCGCGUUGUAUUAGCUAGUUGGUGAGGUAAAGGCUCACCAAGGCGAUGAUACAUAGCCGACCUGAGAGGGUGAUCGGCCACAUUGGGACUGAGACACGGCCCAAACUCCUACGGGAGGCAGCAGUAGGGAAUCUUCGGCAAUGGACGAAAGUCUGACCGAGCAACGCCGCGUGAGUGAAGAAGGUUUUCGGAUCGUAAAACUCUGUUGGUAGAGAAGAACGUUGGUGAGAGUGGAAAGCUCAUCAAGUGACGGUAACUACACAGAAAGGGACGGCUAACUACGUG
This 497-nucleotide ribosomal RNA is filed under the name uncultured bacterium. RNAcentral describes it as "partial 16S ribosomal RNA". It matches the Rfam family "Bacterial small subunit ribosomal RNA", at positions 28 to 507 of the family's 1533-position model. The record is from RNAcentral.